Molecule: ribosomal RNA, 1446 nt
Filed under: Auletobius uniformis
Lineage: Eukaryota; Metazoa; Arthropoda; Insecta; Coleoptera; Attelabidae
Description: SSU rRNA
Rfam family: Eukaryotic small subunit ribosomal RNA
Source: RNAcentral
ACUCCGACCGGAGACGGAAGGAGUGCUUUUAUUAGAUCAAAACCAAUCGGUGGCGGGCUUGCUCGUCAUCGUACAACUUGGUGACUCUGAAUAACUUUACGCUGAUCGCACGGUCUCGCACCGGCGACGCAUCUUUCAAAUGUCUGCCUUAUCAACUGUCGAUGGUAGGUUCUGCGCCUACCAUGGUUGUAACGGGUAACGGGGAAUCAGGGUUCGAUUCCGGAGAGGGAGCCUGAGAAACGGCUACCACAUCCAAGGAAGGCAGCAGGCGCGCAAAUUACCCACUCCCGGCACGGGGAGGUAGUGACGAAAAAUAACGAUACGGGACUCAUCCGAGGCCCCGUAAUCGGAAUGAGUACACUCUAAACCCUUUAACGAGGAUCAAUUGGAGGGCAAGUCUGGUGCCAGCAGCCGCGGUAAUUCCAGCUCCAAUAGCGUAUAUUAAAGUUGUUGCGGUUAAAAAGCUCGUAGUCGAAUCUGUGUCCCGCGCCGCCGGUUCAUCGUCCGCGGUGUCAAUUGGCGUGUCGCGGGACGUCCUGCCGGUGGGCUUAGCUUGCAAGAGCGGCCCAAAUCAAUCCUGCCGCGGUGCUCUUCAUUGAGUGUCGAGGUGGGCCGGCACGUUUACUUUGAACAAAUUAGAGUGCUUAAAGCAGGCUAAAACUUCGCCUGAAUACUGUGUGCAUGGAAUAAUGGAAUAGGACCUCGGUUCUAUUUUGUUGGUUUUCGGAACCCCGAGGUAAUGAUUAAUAGGAACGGAUGGGGGCAUUCGUAUUGCGACGUUAGAGGUGAAAUUCUUGGAUCGUCGCAAGACGGACAGAAGCGAAAGCAUUUGCCAAAAACGCUUUCAUUGAUCAAGAACGAAAGUUAGAGGUUCGAAGGCGAUCAGAUACCGCCCUAGUUCUAACCAUAAACGAUGCCAGCUAGCGAUCCGUCGACGUUCCUCCGAUGACUCGACGGGCAGCUUCCGGGAAACCAAAGCUUUUGGGUUCCGGGGGAAGUAUGGUUGCAAAGCUGAAACUUAAAGGAAUUGACGGAAGGGCACCACCAGGAGUGGAGCCUGCGGCUUAAUUUGACUCAACACGGGAAACCUCACCAGGCCCGGACACCGGAAGGAUUGACAGAUUGAGAGCUCUUUCUUGAUUCGGUGGGUGGUGGUGCAUGGCCGUUCAUAGUUGGUGGAGCGAUUUGUCUGGUUAAUUCCGAUAACGAACGAGACUCUAGCCUGCUAACUAGGCGUAUUUUGACAUCGCAAAGGCCCGCCGACAUUGGGGUUCGCUUCUUUGUCGUGCGCGGUUUUUACUGUCGGCGUACAAACAUUUCUUCUUAGAGGGACAGGCGGCUUCUAGCCGCACGAGAUUGAGCAAUAACAGGUCUGUGAUGCCCUUAGAUGUUCUGGGCCGCACGCGCGCUACACUGAAGGAAUCAGCGUGUCCUCCCUGGCCGAGC